Molecule: ribosomal RNA, 485 nt
Filed under: Salmonella enterica subsp. enterica serovar Paratyphi B
Lineage: Bacteria; Pseudomonadati; Pseudomonadota; Gammaproteobacteria; Enterobacterales; Enterobacteriaceae
Description: bacterial LSU rRNA
Rfam family: Bacterial large subunit ribosomal RNA
Source: RNAcentral
GGGUUGUGAGGUUAAGCGACUAAGCGUACACGGUGGAUGCCCUGGCAGUCAGAGGCGAUGAAGGACGUGCUAAUCUGCGAUAAGCGUCGGUAAGGUGAUAUGAACCGUUAUAACCGGCGAUUUCCGAAUGGGGAAACCCAGUGUGAUUCGUCACACUAUCAUUACGUGAAUACAUAGCGUAAUGAAGCGAACCGGGGGAACUGAAACAUCUAAGUACCCCGAGGAAAAGAAAUCAACCGAGAUUCCCCCAGUAGCGGCGAGCGAACGGGGAGGAGCCCAGAGCCUGAAUCAGCAUGUGUGUUAGUGGAAGCGUCUGGAAAGUCGCGCGAUACAGGGUGACAGCCCCGUACACAAAAGCGCAUGUGCUGUGAGCUCGAUGAGUAGGGCGGGACACGUGGUAUCCUGUCUGAAUAUGGGGGGACCAUCCUCCAAGGCUAAAUACUCCUGACUGACCGAUAGUGAACCAGUACCGUGAGGGAAAGGCG